GUCCUCCACGCGCAGGCGCAGCUCGCGCCACGGGGAGACCUCCUUCCCGGCGUCCUCCACGAGGCGAUUCUGCUGCAGCAGUACUCCGACGUGAUGCGUCCCGGCGGUCUCUUCCCAAGACCUCGGUGGGAACAAGUCCGCCCCCGUGUGGCCGGACUAGAGGAGAAGAGCAGAAGCAGAGAUCUAGGCUGUGCCAUGCGGGAGAAGAGGAGAAUCACAGCGAGAUGCAAGACCUGCCGGCUAGGUGCCGUGCCGGAGGUGUUGGCUAGGUGCUGGGCCGGAGGUGCCAUGCUGGAGGUGCCCACUAGUAGGCGAUGUCGUUGGCGAGCUGAGACGGGCAACGUCUUCGGCAAGCUGAGACGGAGCUAGCGACGAGAAGGCGACGUCGAUGGCGAGCUGAGAAGGAUGACAUCAUUGGGAGUCUUUGUGUUUUCUAAACAUACUGUUGGUCUGUGCGUUAUAAUGCGUGGUAGUAUAGUACCUGUUAUGUUAGUUCUGUUAAAAUAAAAAGACAACACGUCGAAUGUGUGGAAGUGCUUUUUUUUUUAAUCCUAUACAAACUUAGCGC
Lolium rigidum is the source of this 568-nucleotide long non-coding RNA. RefSeq lists it as uncharacterized. The record is from RefSeq and is a predicted model, not a curated record. NCBI's taxonomy places the organism in Eukaryota, Viridiplantae, Streptophyta, Magnoliopsida, Poales, Poaceae. The transcript has 2 exons.